GCAUAUCAAUAAGCGGAGGAAAAGAAACCAACAGGGAUUGCCUCAGUAGCGGCGAGUGAAGCGGCAAGAGCUCAGAUUUGAAAUCGUGCUUUGCGGCACGAGUUGUAGAUUGCAGGUUGGAGUCUGUGUGGAAGGCGGUGUCCAAGUCCCUUGGAACAGGGCGCCUAGGAGGGUGAGAGCCCCGUGGGAUGCCGGCGGAAGCAGUGAGGCCCUUCUGACGAGUCGAGUUGUUUGGGAAUGCAGCUCCAAGCGGGUGGUAAAUUCCAUCUAAGGCUAAAUACUGGCGAGAGACCGAUAGCGAACAAGUACUGUGAAGGAAAGAUGAAAAGCACUUUGAAAAGAGAGUGAAACAGCACGUGAAAUUGUUGAAAGGGAAGGGUAUUGCGCCCGACAUGGGGAUUGCGCACCGCUGCCUCUCGUGGGCGGCGCUCUGGGCUUUCCCUGGGCCAGCAUCGGUUCUUGCUGCAGGAGAAGGGGUUCUGGAACGUGGCUCUUCGGAGUGUUAUAGCCAGGGCCAGAUGCUGCGUGCGGGGACCGAGGACUGCGGCCGUGUAGGUCACGGAUGCUGGCAGAACGGCGCAACACCGCCCGUCUUGAAACACGGAAC
Molecule: ribosomal RNA, 607 nt
Filed under: Pichia kudriavzevii
Lineage: Eukaryota; Fungi; Ascomycota; Pichiomycetes; Pichiales; Pichiaceae
Description: partial large subunit ribosomal RNA
Rfam family: Eukaryotic large subunit ribosomal RNA
Source: RNAcentral